GAUGAACGCUGGCGGCGUGCCUAAUACAUGCAAGUCGAACGGACAGGCCUGCUUUCCCUUGUGGAUUGCGGGUACUCGGGUGGCUAACGGGUGAGUAACACGUGAGUGUUUUGCCCUCAACUUGGUUCUAAGCCCGGGAACUAGUACCGAAUACCCUUUUGAACCGCAGGGUGCUACCGUUGAUGGCAAUCUUUCUUUUAGUGGUUGGGGAUGCGCUCGCGGCUUAUCAGCUUGUUGGUGGGGUAAUGGCCCACCACGCCGGUGACGGGUAGCCGGACUGGGAGGGUGCACGGCGACAUUGGGACUGGGUUACGGCCCAGACGCGUACGGGAGGCAGGGGUGGGGAAUAAUGCAGAAUGAGCGGAAGCGUGAUGCAGCGACGCCGCGUGGGAGAUGACGGGCUUCGGGAUGUAAGCUCCUUGCGAACGAGAGGAAGGCAACUGAUUGGGAGGGUGGUGACGGUAGUGGUAGAAGAAGCACCGGCUAACUACGUG
This 494-nucleotide ribosomal RNA is filed under the name uncultured bacterium. RNAcentral describes it as "partial 16S ribosomal RNA". It matches the Rfam family "Bacterial small subunit ribosomal RNA", at positions 28 to 507 of the family's 1533-position model. The record is from RNAcentral.